CCUGGGUUAUGACGAAAGCAAAUCUCAGACGCAUCACACACCUAAGUAUUUAUUAAACACGCGUUCACUGAGGAGGCACAGAGCCCUUCAUCCAGGCUGCUCCGGAAGCAGAAUGAACACGCCACCCUGUGUCUGUCAGGCGGCUGGAGAAUGUGCAUAGGGGCUGAGCACCGCCCUUUUCUGGAAAGGUCGUAAGGAAGGAGGCCCUCUAGAGCUGCCCAGAGAGGAAGCAAACAGAGAAGGUGUAAAGAUUGCAGUCUGAGGGCCAACAUUUGCCCUGGGGGUCUGGCCGAGAGGAAAGGCCCGUUGGGAUCUUCACAACUCUGGCCUCCUGGCUCCUCUCCCGACCAGAGUCUCCCGGAGGGCCGCCACAGAGCCUUCUGAUUCCCUUGCCUUCCAGAAGCUCCUGCCCUGUAGCAUGAGGCCUUCCCUGGGAAACUGGGAAGCUUGUCUUCAAGUCUCCCCCUCCCUCUUCAGCAUCCCUCUUUCCCGACUCCCUACUGCCUCCCCACCCUGUCUGUUUCUUUUAAAGAACAUCCCCCACCCCCCUACAACAACCCAGGCUCCAGGCUACACACCCUCACAUACACUCUUACACCAAGACUUACCUUAAGUCCUGAUUCUUCCAGGUCCUUCCGGAGAGCUGAAAGAUGCCACAGAACUACUUUUUUACUAAGAUACCAACGGCUUCAAAAGAGAUUGAAU
This is a long non-coding RNA of Hyaena hyaena (striped hyena), 705 nucleotides long. RefSeq lists it as uncharacterized. The transcript is spliced from 2 exons. The record is from RefSeq and is a predicted model, not a curated record. Lineage: Eukaryota; Metazoa; Chordata; Mammalia; Carnivora; Hyaenidae.